RNAcentral lists this ribosomal RNA (253 nucleotides) under uncultured bacterium. Its description in RNAcentral is "partial 16S ribosomal RNA". It matches the Rfam family "Bacterial small subunit ribosomal RNA", at positions 524 to 776 of the family's 1533-position model. The record is from RNAcentral.
UACGGGGGGGGCAAGCGUUGUUCGGAAUUACUGGGCGUAAAGGGCUCGUAGGCGGCCAACUAAGUCAGACGUGAAAUCCCUCGGCUUAACCGGGGAACUGCGUCUGAUACUGGAUGGCUUGAGAUUGGGAGAGGGAUGCGGAAUUCCAGGUGUAGCGGUGAAAUGCGUAGAUGUCUGGAGGAACACCGGUGGCGAAGGCGGCAUCCUGGACCAACACUGACGCUGAGGAGCGAAAGCCAGGGGAGCAAACGGG